UUCUGACUAUUCAUAUGUAUCGAAUUUAGCUAAAUGAUUUCCUGUACCUAUCAAAAGAAUCACGUUUUUCUUUCUAUCUUUAAUGUAUCAAAUAAGAUAAUCUAUUCCUUGAGAUUUUUGUAAAAAACUCACCUUAAAAUUUGUCUAGACCUGGUUGUCAACUGUUAAAAAACAUUUUACUGAAAUUUAUUAUUAGAGCUUGGGCCACAUGGUGAAAUCCCUGUCUCUACAAAAAAUACAAGAAAUUAGCCAGGCAUGAUGGUACUCACCUAUAGUCCCAGCUACUCCAAGGCUGAGGUUGGAGAAUCACCUGUGCCCGGGAGGUUGAGGCUGCAGUAAGCUGAGAUCAUGCCACGUCACUCCACAAUAAUUUCUACAUACCUAUGAAUGUUCACAAAGUUAAUAUACCUUUAUUCUCAGUGCUCUACAAAGAAAGAGAACAUUACUAGCACCCCAGAAAACUCCUUCAUAUCCCUUCCAAUCACUGUCUCCUCCUCCACCAGGGACAGCCUCUGUUCUAACUUCAAAUAGCAUGGACUAAUUUACCCGCUUUGUGCUUUAUAUAAAUUGAAUAGGACAAGAUAUACUCUUCCUGUGUCUGAAAUUUUUUGCCCAAUGCUAUGUUUUCCAAAAUGCAUCCAUGUUGUCACGUCGGUGUAGAUAAUUCCUUCUCAUUGUUACACAGUUUUACUUCGUGUGAACAAGACUAUUUAUUUUUCCAUUCUGUUCUUGAGGGACUCUGGAAGUAGUUUCCAGUUUGGGGUUCUUAUAGAUAGUGUUAACAAUCUAGUACAUGACCUCCUGUCCUUUUAUUAAAGAGGGAGGUGUGUUGUGGGAACUACUAUUUUUAGUAAGAACUGAAAAUUUUAAAUAAUUUCCGAUUCAUUUGUCUACUUUUUUCUUUGGUCAAUUUUGUUUAUAUUUUUUCUUUGAAGUUAUUAAUUUAUCUAAGCUUUUAGAUUCUAGAUAGGUGUAAAUUUGUUCAUAAUAUUUUCAUAUGAUUUUUAAAAGUCUGAAUAUGUCUCUAAAAUCUUAGCAUUAUUCUAACUAGCAUGAAUUUAGACUCUUAUUCUUUCUCUGGCUAUUUUUUGUUCUGGUUUGUUUUACUAUUUUGUUUUCUUUCAACAGUCAUCCUUAUAAUAUCUUUUCUUUUGCUUCUUUUAGGUUUACAAUAUUUUUCUUUACUUUUAUUAAACAUGUUGCUUAUUUCCAGCUUUUCUCGUGUAUGUGGUUAAUAGAUAAAUGUAACUAAUGCUUUAUAUUUUGUCUUAAGUCCCACUUUAGAUGCAUCCCAUGUGCUUUGAUGUGCUGAGAUUUUGUUGACAGUCAUAAAUAUUUUGUAAUGUCUAUUGUAAUUCUCUCAUUGACUAGAGAUUAUUAAGACACAACUAUAUAGCUACUUAUGAGAACCUUUGUCUUACUGGGAACACAGUCAGCUGUUAUUUCCCUUUGCAGUUGUAAGUGGCCACAAUUGCAUUGCAGCCAACAAAAUGUGAUCAGAUGUGAUGUCCAUUAUCACCUUUCCUGAUCCCUAAGAACUCCCACACUUGACCCUCCAUGCUCUUCUGCCUUCCCCUGGCUUCAUGCAGACGAGCUCACAGACCUUGGAAAUCAAGCACUGAAGACAGAUGAAGCAAAAGGGAGAAAAUGAACUGCUCACAAAAAAUAAACACCCCUUGGAGGCUCUCAUUGAGGAAUAAA
This 1701-nucleotide long non-coding RNA is filed under the name Homo sapiens (human). RNAcentral's name for it is "HSALNT0223508". The record is from RNAcentral. Lineage: Eukaryota; Metazoa; Chordata; Mammalia; Primates; Hominidae.